RNAcentral lists this transfer RNA (72 nucleotides) under Camelus bactrianus (Bactrian camel). It matches the Rfam family "tRNA". Rfam says of the family: Transfer RNA (tRNA) molecules are approximately 80 nucleotides in length. Their secondary structure includes four short double-helical elements and three loops (D, anti-codon, and T loops). Further hydrogen bonds mediate the characteristic L-shaped molecular structure. tRNAs have two regions of fundamental functional importance: the anti-codon, which is responsible for specific mRNA codon recognition, and the 3' end, to which the tRNAs corresponding amino acid is attached (by aminoacyl-tRNA synthetases). tRNAs cope with the degeneracy of the genetic code in two manners: having more than one tRNA (with a specific anti-codon) for a particular amino acid; and 'wobble' base-pairing, i.e. permitting non-standard base-pairing at the 3rd anti-codon position. RNAcentral also lists the same sequence under 2 other names. The record is from Rfam by way of RNAcentral. Lineage: Eukaryota; Metazoa; Chordata; Mammalia; Artiodactyla; Camelidae.
GAGAGUAUAGCUCAGUGGUAGAGUGUGUGCUUAGCACUCACGAGGUCCUGGAUUCAAUCCUCAGUACCUCCA